UACGAAGGGGGCUAGCGUUGUUCGGAAUUACUGGGCGUAAAGCGUAUGUAGGCGGAUCGUUAAGUCGGGGGUGAAAUCCCGAGGCUCAACCUCGGAACUGCCUUCGAUACUGGCGAUCUUCGAGUCCGGGAGAGGUGAGUGGAACUCCGAGUGUAGAGGUGAAAUUCGUAGAUAUUCGGAAGAACACCAGUGGCGAAGGCGGCUCACUGGCCCGGUACUGACGCUGAAAAGCGAAAGCCAGGGGAGCAAACGGG
RNAcentral lists this ribosomal RNA (254 nucleotides) under uncultured bacterium. Its description in RNAcentral is "partial 16S ribosomal RNA". It matches the Rfam family "Bacterial small subunit ribosomal RNA", at positions 524 to 776 of the family's 1533-position model. The record is from RNAcentral.